GGGUCAUCUUUUACUGUAGAAUAUUGAAAGAAACUAUAUCUAGCUGCCUCAUGUUGAAUAUCACGAGGAGGAAAAAAGUCCAGUGAUGAUAGAGUGAAGAUUCACAUUUAUGAUGUGAUCUCAUUGUCUAAUAUGCUUAUCAAGUGUGUGCUCAGUGGAAUAGUUAAUUCCGACCCUUUGUGACCUCAUGGACUGUAGCCCGCCAGACUCCUCUGUCCAUGAAAUUUUUCCAGGCAAGAAUACUGGAGUGGGUAGCCGUUUCCUCUGCCAGGGGAUCAUCUUUCCAACCCAGCAACCGAGCCUGUGCCUCCUGCGUCUCCUGUGUUAGCAGGCAAAUUCUUUACCACUGAGCCUCCUGGGAAGUCCAGUGCGCCUCACACGCUUAAAAAAGCUUGGGAAGACUCAACAGAAGCCUAGAAGAAUAAAAAUUUUCAAUGGCCAGACUUGGAAGAUGGGAGAAUUGUACGGAGAAUGUGGCCAAAUAAAGGGUUGUGGCUGGCCACCCAUUCAACUCAGCCCUUGUCCCCUGACCCAGUAACAAACUCCUUGUCAUUUUUUAUUCUGGGAAUCGUAAGGAGAAGUGUUCACACACGAGUCAUGCUAAUUACUGGUUAUGAGUGAGAAUAUAGUGGAAAGAUGAUGAUUCUUCUCCGUUAUACACUAAGAACAGAGAGAAAGUGAAGAUGGCUCUAUAUGGAGCUGCUC
RNAcentral lists this long non-coding RNA (705 nucleotides) under Capra hircus (goat). Its description in RNAcentral is "lncRNA (ENSCHIG00000007858.1)". Lineage: Eukaryota; Metazoa; Chordata; Mammalia; Artiodactyla; Bovidae. The record is from RNAcentral.